UCUCCCUCCUUAGAAUCUGACAGGCCAGGGAGAAACCUGAUUUCAAAGGGAUGCUUAGAUUCUGUACUGAUGCCAUCUAGAAAUGUAAAUGCUCAAAGUCACACUGCUAAGUGGAGAAAGGCAUAAAGCGGUGUCUGCUAAUUAAUCAACCUAACUUCUGAAUCAGAUAUUUUGAUUUGUUAUAAAAGGAGAUAGUCAAGGACAACUGUGGAGAUGAAGCAGUUCUGCCUUCAUCCUGGGCCUCCCUUUUGUGGUGCAUCGCAUGCCUCAAUAGGAAGCACUUUCAGACACUGCUCAAAUUUAAGUCGCCAAAAUUUUACCUUUUCUAGAUGUCUUGUGAAGGUUUUAUUCUUUCGGGUCCAGUUUCUCUUAUUUAGGUAUGGUCAUAUCAGUUUUUAUUGACUUCAGAUUAGUCUUUCAUUGUAAGUAUAUAAUAUUAUAUACUAUAUAAUACUUAAUUCCUCUCCAGUUGAUGAACACUUGUGUCUAUGAGAGACAUUUCUCAUCCAAACCACAAGAUACAAGAAUUUGCAAAGACAGAGAUUGUCACUUCUCUUUUUAAAAAAAUGGCCCGGGGAAAAAUGAUUGGAGGACCAUCUAUAAGAUUAUUUUUAAUUGGACAGACAAUAAACAUUAAAAUUGUUUUCCAAAGUAUUUCCUCUUUCUUUAUAUCCCUGCCACAAUGUGUGAGACACUUAGUUCCAUUUCAUUUUCAAGAACACUUGCAUUCUGUGGUGUUUUAAUUUUAUACCCAUUCUAUUAGAUAUGUAGUUAUACUGAAUGUUGGUCUUAAUAUACUGUUCAUUGAGGAUCAGUGAUGACAGACACGUUUUGAAGGUUAUAUUUCCCAUUACUAUUCAAACUUCAAGGCCAGGAUUUUGCAAUUCAUUUGGUCAUCUUAUAUAUUGAUCAGUUAUGUUCUGCACAUAUUGUGUCUUAAUAUAUGGCUUAUUUACUUUAUUUCCAAUAUUAUCUCUCAAUUUUAAUUUUAUAAAUUAAAUUUUUUAUAAAUCAUAAUUUAAGAGAAUUUUAAUCAAGGUCACUAGGAAUUGAUCUUCUAUUUACCCUGAAUAUUUUAUUGCCUCAGAUUUUAAAUCUUUAUGAUUUUUUUCUGUUUAUCACAUUUUGUCUUCAUCUUCUUCUUUUUUCUUUUCUUUUUUUUUUUCUUUUUUUUCGGAGCUGGGGACCAAACCCAGGGCCUUGCGCUUGCUAGGCAAGUGCUCUACCGCUGAGCUAAAUCCCCAACCCCGUCUUUAUCUUCUUUAUUUUGGUACUUAAUCCAUCAUUCUUUAUUCGAAGGAUUAUUUCUUUCCAUUGAAGACAUAAUUUUGAAUCAUAAUAUAAUCAACCGAACUAACCAACUAGCCAUUAACAAUUUUUAUUGAAAAAAAAUCAUCCAUUUUCAAUAUAGGUUUGUUUUCUUGUGGGAUUUAUACAUAUGUUCUCUUUUCA
This is a non-coding RNA of Rattus norvegicus (Norway rat), 1452 nucleotides long. The record is from RefSeq and is a predicted model, not a curated record. NCBI's taxonomy places the organism in Eukaryota, Metazoa, Chordata, Mammalia, Rodentia, Muridae.